UAUAAUUUAGCAGCUAUUUGAAUCAAAAGCUUCUGGUCGUGAAUGUUACUAAAUUAAUGCAGAUUUUCCUAUUGCAUAAGUAAAUAGAGUCAACUAUGUAUACGGCUUGCUCUGUGAAAGAAGGACAGAGUACCCACACUCCUCUCUUGCUUCCUGAUUUGACUCCUCACCUGCUCUCUUUAAUUUCAUCUACUAUAUAACUUCUCUUUUCUUUGUCGAUGCAGAUUAUUUUUUAUCUAUGCCUAUGAGGUGUUUGAUAGAACUCCAAGCAGGUUAAUUGGUGUUGAGCAUCAUCAUUGGUGGUAACCCAAGAUUAGCUGACGAGGAAGUUUUCUGUUUGUUCGAUGGUGACGAGAGAAAUUUGUCUGGGUUAAACCUUUUGAGGCCUGAUCCAUUGCCUCCAUCAUGCUCCAAACCAAGCCGUCCACUAUCAAGGUUUGAGGAAUAUCACUCUGAAGAAGAUUGUGGAUUAAUUCAUUGAUGGUUGGUUUUUUGGUAAUACAUGCUACCUCUCUGCACCUGCCUUCACGGCCUCAUAUCACGAUUGACGCCGGUGGCCUAUAGGCUGAGGUGAGAAAUGCCUCAACACCAUGGUCAUGGUGGUGACAUCUCCAAUCAUGUCCUGCAAGGCAUUGCUUGUCUCUCCGUAACGUGGCGAGAUGAAAUAUGCCUCCCUUGCUAUCUCUAACCUCUUGGAUGCCAGACUCGGCAGAAAUGGGCAUCCUCACGAGCUUCCAAACUCAGUGAUCCACCUCUCCAGCUGCAGAACCACCUUGUUUUUUGGAAACUGAGAAGGUAAAAGUGGGAUGCAAUCUACUAUAUGUUUGCUGAAAUGGCACCUGGAGUGUGACUUGUAUCAGCAUCUCAAGUCUAUUUAUGAGGUUUGCCACUGUUUGCAUCUGCUUCAGGUGUUCCCAUAAGCACUCCUCCAGCAGAUACUGAAAUCCAUCGUACAUCCAGAUACACUCAUGUGGGGCGCAUCACAUAUUUUCUGUUGUUAUUGUCCGAGAUCCAAGCCAUCACAGGGGUGAUUUAGAGUACCUAUAUGAAACAAAAAUGUGGCAGUCGAGAGAGAAAUAAUGUUUAUGUUCAGAUAAGCCUGGAAAUAUGAUGUACGAUGACGGAAUAGAAAGAAGCAUGCACGAAGAGGAUAAUAAACAUGUUUGGGCCCAGAAAAGUCCGGCAUAUUUUUCAAAGUUGGUCUUCUUCUUUGUUGAUCGAUGGGCAACACUAGCUAAUUCUGCAGAGGAAACCAAGAUCGUCCCUGAAGAUCAAGCAAAUCAAUUGUUGUCUGCAUUCUGGAUACAGGCCACUCAGACUGAUAAUAAUCUGUUCAAUUAUGAGGCGAUUAGUCAUUCAUACAGUCUCUCGUUCUUUCUUCCCAUCUUAAGGUUUUUUCACAUGGAUGUAGUUCUUCUGCUAGCAUUCAGAUUUAGUAGUCAAUUUUUUGGCGACAUUGGAGAAUAUUGUAGCUGAACAGGUUCGCAUAUGUUCCAUGCAUAUACUUUUAGCAUGUAUAUAAUCUACAAAGAAAAUUCCAUUUUAGUAAGUACCACCAAAUUUACAGUCGAGUAGUUCAAUCAGUGCGGCUCAUGGCAGAUUAUGGAGAUCCCUCCUGAAAAAAAUAUCCUUUAUUUCUUACUUUGAUUGACUCUGUUAGGAUUUGCCGUUGUUUACCAGCAGGGUCGAGUCUGAGCAAAAAUGCUUUUUAAUUCUUCUCUAUUAUGUAAUUUGAGUUGCUGUUUUGGAAAAAAUUCAAACGAUGGGUGUUACAGAAGGCCCAUGUUCCAGAUUUAGGAAAUGACUUUGCAUUGCUACUUCAAAUGGUGGCUUCACUAGGGAAAUCUGGUCGGUUUUGACACAUACUGGUUCAGUGUACAAGCUAUACCUUACAUAUACUAUCUUGCUUCUCUUCGUUCAGUCCGAAAGAAUAUUUUUGUUUUGAACUUCAUUUUGGAAUGAUGACUAGGUCAGUUGCAUUCUUCACUUACCACCUAAGACCAAUUGGAAGCUAGAAUAUAUGUUCCUUAAUGACGAGAUUGAUUAAUUUUAAUUUCCUAGAUGUUGAAACUUCAAACCUGUUAAAAGUCAGGAGUGGUUGCCCUUGGUUCAAACCUUAAUAUUUUGUGUGUUGUGUUUCAUGCCUAUUUUGUGUACACUCCUUAAAUUUGGUAACAGCCCGUGAAUAUCAGAUGGAGUGGAGAUAUAAAAUGGAUGAAGAUUUUCUCUUUUUACCUUCCACUGCAAAUGUUCGAGUGGACGUAUAAUUAGAUGCCAUCGGAAGCAUCUAUAUGGAAAGGUGUCCAAUAAGUUUCGGAAGCGCACUUUCUACUUAUCUUGGUUUUUGUCGUUUACGAAUACGAAAAUGCCCAUUAUAGAUAUUACAAAGCUUUAGGUGUACCAUUUGAUAUAUUUUGUCUUAUGCCUAUACACUGGAAAGAAAGCAAUGUGAUAUGUUUUAGA
Molecule: long non-coding RNA, 2463 nt
Organism: Lolium perenne
Lineage: Eukaryota; Viridiplantae; Streptophyta; Magnoliopsida; Poales; Poaceae
Source: RefSeq, a predicted model, not a curated record